GUGUCUGUUGUCGUGACUUGCUAGAGAGUGGUGGAUCCACGUGAAAUCCAUUACAGAGAGUGGAGUAGGGUAGUGGCCAUUGUCGUGACUUGCCGAGAGUUCGGAUCUGUCGGCUGGAGCUCGGUUGAGAUGUCUGAUGGAGCGGAAUGGCUCUCUAUCUCAUCGAUCUAGGAGAAGCUCGGAUGUUUCUGAGGUUGCUGACGAGUCUACUAUUGUCAGAUGCCUCGGGCGCUGAUGCUACAGGCGGGAGUCAUCUGCUGUAGAAGCUCGGAUGGAGACUUUCUGUUGGUGA
RNAcentral lists this long non-coding RNA (292 nucleotides) under Elaeis guineensis (African oil palm). RNAcentral's name for it is "long non-coding RNA (EGUI_LNC080390)". Lineage: Eukaryota; Viridiplantae; Streptophyta; Magnoliopsida; Arecales; Arecaceae. The record is from RNAcentral.